Molecule: ribosomal RNA, 402 nt
Filed under: uncultured bacterium
Lineage: Bacteria
Description: partial 16S ribosomal RNA
Rfam family: Bacterial small subunit ribosomal RNA
Source: RNAcentral
GACGACCGCUGGCGGCGUGCCUAAUACAUGCAAGUCGAACGCAGUGGGGACGGGUGAGUAACACGUGGGUAACCUCCCAUCAGAGGGGAUAAACCUUGGAAACAGGUGCUAAACCGCUACUGAUGUAUGGACCCGCGGUGCGUUAGCUAGUUGGUGAGGGAACGGCUCACCAAGGCCACGAUGCAUAGCGUACGUGCGAGUGUGAUCUGCCACACUGUGACUGAGACACGGCCCAGAAUCCUACGGGAGGCAGCAGGAGGGAAUCUUCGGCAAUGGACGAAAGGCUGACCGAGCAACGCCGCGUGAGUGAAGAAGGUUUUCGGAUCGUAAAACUCUGUUGUUAGAGAAGCGGGAGCUAACCAGAAAGCCACGGCUAACUACGUGCCAGCAGCCGCGGUAAUG